RNAcentral lists this ribosomal RNA (490 nucleotides) under uncultured bacterium. RNAcentral describes it as "bacterial SSU rRNA". It matches the Rfam family "Bacterial small subunit ribosomal RNA", at positions 338 to 842 of the family's 1533-position model. The record is from RNAcentral.
CCUACGGGAGGCAGCAGUAGGGAAUUUUCCACAAUGGGCGAAAGCCUGAUGGAGCAAUACCGCGUGCAGGAUGAAGGCCUUCGGGUCGUAAACUGCUUUUAUGUGCGAAGAAUUUGACGGUAACACAUGAAUAAGGAUCGGCUAACUACGUGCCAGCAGCCGCGGUCAUACGUAGGAUCCAAGCGUUAUCCGGAAUUACUGGGCGUAAAGAGUUGCGUAGGUGGCAUUAUAAGUGGAGCGUGAAAGCGUGCGGCUCAACCGCAUUAUUGCGUUCCAAACUGUGAAGCUUGAGUAUGGGAGAGGUAGAUGGAAUUUCUAGUGUAGGAGUGAAAUCCGUAGAUAUUAGAAGGAACACCGAUGGCGUAGGCAGUCUACUGGCCCAUUACUGACACUAAGGCACGAAAGCGUGGGGAGCAAACGGGAUUAGAUACCCCGGUAGUCCACGCUGUAAACUAUGAUGNUAGCUGUGACACACAUACGACUCGUGUGU